This 430-nucleotide long non-coding RNA is filed under the name Astyanax mexicanus (Mexican tetra). RNAcentral's name for it is "lncRNA (ENSAMXG00005015716.1)". The record is from RNAcentral. Lineage: Eukaryota; Metazoa; Chordata; Actinopteri; Characiformes; Acestrorhamphidae.
CUUAAGUAGUAGGAACUCUCUUGGGCCCAUGUGUCAGUUGUGUGCCCUUAGUUUCUACAUAAUUGGAGCAAAUUCGGAUAAAAAAAUUCAGAAUGGAAAUUACAUCCGAGCCAAUUAGUUCCUCAUCGUUAUGCAGAGACCACUGGCAUUUCAAAGAGCACAGCUGUUCUCCACUCACAGGAUUAGAAAGUCUGUCGGUUCUGUAUAAGCACUGGUUGCUGUGGAGACGGGCCUGGAUGAAGCAGAUCUCCAGAUCCCAGCAGAUGCAGCGGGCUCGGGCGUGGAGGGAGCAGAGGCUGCGUAUCAGGACCUGGACUAUGUGGCUGUGUGUUUGGAAGAAAAGACAGCAAACCAGACACCUGCACAGGUACAACCAGCCCAUUUACCUACUGGAACAUCUGCAUUAACGUCCAUAAAUAUUAUUAGGAUG